GAAAAUUUGUGGCGAGAGGUUAAAGUGGCUCUUAGAGGAAAAAAUCCAACAAAUAAAGAUGCCCUUUGGAAACUAGUGAACGACGCAUGGGAGCAAAUAUCAGCUGCUAAGUGCCUGAAUCUAGUGGAUUCGAUGCCCAGGCGUUGCUCAGCAGUUAUAAAAAAUAAAGCAUACUUCACUAAAUAUUGAAGUCAUGAGAUACGACUGAAAUUGAAUAAUUACCUUUGGCUCUAUUUCAAGUCACAGCCGAAAUAAGAAAUACCAAUGAAUUUUAAAUUUUUUCGUUUAUGUUUUAGACUUAAGCUGUUUAAUUUGUUUUUUAAUAUACGUCUCAUAGGUUGUUCUUUUUUACCUAUUAAAGAAAUAAAUGAAAAAAGUGAAUUUUUA
Bactrocera latifrons is the source of this 387-nucleotide long non-coding RNA. RefSeq lists it as uncharacterized. Lineage: Eukaryota; Metazoa; Arthropoda; Insecta; Diptera; Tephritidae. The transcript has 2 exons. The record is from RefSeq and is a predicted model, not a curated record.